This 1884-nucleotide long non-coding RNA is filed under the name Theobroma cacao (cacao). RNAcentral's name for it is "long non-coding RNA (TCAC_LNC001908)". The record is from RNAcentral. Lineage: Eukaryota; Viridiplantae; Streptophyta; Magnoliopsida; Malvales; Malvaceae.
ACCAAAGUAUAAAAUUUAAUUUACAGUGACACGUGGGCCCACGAACGACCAAAAGUAUUAAAAGCAGUAAACCUACAGUUUUUGAGAAUGCAAGUCCAACUGUAACCCUCAACAAAGUGAGCUAUCUACCGACUAUCAUGAGCCUUAAAGGGGAGGAAAGGAGGGUGGUGAGAUUAUAUAAUCUCAGUGAGUAAACAAAUACCAUCUAAAAUAUCUAAAUCUGAGUAAAUGGAGACAGAUAAAAAAAUUUAACAUACUGUAAUUCAUCACCUUUCAACUCAUUUCAACCAAAUAAAAUCAAUUCAUAUAAAUUAAGUAAUCAACAUGGCUUAUAAAUUUCUUAAAACUUUGGCUCGUGCCAAAAUGAUUCUCAUACUCAGUUAUUAGGGAUACCUUGGCCGAGGGCUAUCCCAACCGAGACUGCCAAGGCUGUUAAAAAGUUAUGUACGCAUAAAUCAUGUUUUUAUUUUGAAAACAUAGCCGUUCCUUGGCGUUGGCUAAGUUCACCCUCACAUGGUGGUUGGGCGUGAAGUGAACUCUAAAGUGUUAACCUCAGGAGUUAUCCAUUCAUGCCUCUCACUGAGGUAUGAAUAUAAUAGGAUUACCGUGCCCCUCUAAUAGGCCGGUCCACAGAACCCGUCCACUGUAGCGACUAAACCCACCAUACAAUAAAAUUUGCAAUAGUAUGACAUGGCAAUUAUUUUAUUUUACAGCCUCUCAAGGUAAAUUAACAGUUCAUACAUUUUCAACACAUUUACCAAAUCAACCAUUCAUGCCAAUAUUAUCAUAAGCCAUUCAAUUCAAACCAUGAUUUAUAACACAACAAUUAGUCUCCAAUUACUCCAUUUUCCAAAACUAUCAUUCAAUUUCAAGACAAUUUUAUAAAAUCAUUUCAUUUAAUCAUAUUUUGCUUAUAAAACAUAAAAAUUUGCCAUUGAAACUCAUUUUCUAUAAAAUCACAAAAUCGGAUAAAAACCACUUUAGAUAAUUAAGACGAUAGUAAAGUUACUCACUGUAAUGGAAAUCGAGUUUCGAGUACUCUGAUUCUUGAUCCUCGGGUACUAUCUCUUUACGUUUGCCAGAAUGCGCACCACCUAGACAUAAUGUACAAUAAGCCAUUACUACAUUUGUGCUAAAUUGUUAUAAAACCAAUUCAGGCUCUAUACUAAUGCAUGAAAUGGAAUGCAAAUUGUUCGGAUUAUCGUCUAAACAUGGUGUUCUACACAAAUUCAAUUGUGUACCUAAAUAAAAGGGUAUUGGCCUAAUUCGAUCUAUCACCCGAUUAAUUGGCCAAUAUGUCCAAUUUAACUCCAUUUAAUUCCAUUUUUCUCCCAAUACUCCAAAUCAUCAAACACAAAUUAAACAACUUGAAAUAUGGAAAAAUCAUCCUCACAUGUUCUCUUGGAAAAUUUGGCCAUGGUGGGUGCAUCAACACUAUAAUUUUUUCUACUCGAUUCUCACACCUUAAAUCACUAAUUCCUAACCAAAUCACUUGAGAUAAAAUCAAAAUCAUGCUCAAUAUUCCACAUGGAGAAUUCGGCCAAUGAUGGGUGAUGGAAGAACAUGAAUUUUUCUUGCUUGAUUUUCAUGCUACACAUCACCAAUCAACUAAAAACACUAAAAUACAUUGAAAUCUAACCAAAUCAAACAUCAAAACCUCUCUCUAAGUGUUCAAGCAGCAAGAUACCCAUCAUGAAAUCAUGUGAUUCAACCAUAGAAAAUGCAAAAGAAUGCAUGGGAAAGGUAGAUCACAAGUCAAAAUCAAGAAAUUUUACCUUUGAUUGCUUGAUUACUUGAAAUCCACCAAUUUUCUCUUGAAUUUUCACCCUAAGGUUCUUGUUCUUUCUUUUCUUCCUUUGUUCUUGUUUUGGCCGGCCAUAUGAA